Molecule: long non-coding RNA, 839 nt
Filed under: Monodelphis domestica (gray short-tailed opossum)
Lineage: Eukaryota; Metazoa; Chordata; Mammalia; Didelphimorphia; Didelphidae
Description: lncRNA (ENSMODG00000041324.1)
Source: RNAcentral
UCAGAGAGUGAAGCAGGUCAAGGACUGUUGGCAUCCUCCCCUCCCCCAGCCCCCCUCCCCCCAAGGUAUUUCUUUCCCCCUCCCUCGGAAGAGGCCCACGCAAGCAGCAGCUCUGCCAAACCUGGCGGGGAGAAACAAGCAGGCUGGACUCCAGGCCAUCCUAACGCCCUCUCAGCGGGGCGCCAAGCACACAAACUUUCAGCUCCCUUAACCUGCCGAAGCUGCCACCAUUCGGGCUCAGGCAGGGCAUCCCCUGGGCCAAACAAGCUCCUCCCCGCUACCACCACUGCCCUGUCAGGCCUCUACAGGUCUGUGCUGAAGCCGCCACUGUCCUAUGGGAUCUGGCUUCUGCUCCCGCCAGGGAACCACCCACCUCAGCAGCUAGAGUCCCAGGCCGGCCGACACAUCACCACGACCUCUUGCCUCCCUCCUCCUCUCCCCAGUGCGGUGACCCCCAGGGGAAGGCAGAGGGAGGAGAUGGAUUUGGAGGCUUUUGCUGCUAGCUGCUCCGAUCCUCCAGUCCUCCUGUCCUCCUCCCCUCCUCCCCUCCCCUCCCCACUUGCCCAGUGGGUUUCACUGUCUCUUUCCCCGCCCCCAACCCUACUUGCUUCAAGUCCAUUUCAAGAUGGCGGGAAAUCAUUCAAAAGCCAGAUAUGAAGAAGAAAGUCGGUAUUUCCCAAAGGUAAGAAUCAAGCAACAAGCAUUAGUGCUUCUUCUGGGUUAGUUACAGUACUAAGCAAUCAAAGAAAAAACUAAUGUUUCAUUCUAAUGGAGGAGACAACAAAUAUAUUAAUCAGAAUAUAAAAAAUAAAUACAGAACAAAGUGAAAGUAAUCUCCA